Non-coding RNA from Phoenix dactylifera (date palm), 4551 nucleotides. NCBI's taxonomy places the organism in Eukaryota, Viridiplantae, Streptophyta, Magnoliopsida, Arecales, Arecaceae. The record is from RefSeq and is a predicted model, not a curated record.
GUGGAAAGCAUUGAAUGGCUCAUUAAGGGUGUAAGCUAAGGAAUCGUGGUGUGUUGCUGAAUGGAUAGCUUGUCUUGUAGUUAUGACUUUUUUUUUGUUGGGGUGACUUCGCAGCGAAGUAAAAAGUAUUUGUAGUAGGCACAUGAGAAACAGGUUUUAGCGCUUAGACCAAGAUUCGUAAGUUAUUGGGACACAUGGUGAAAUAGUAUUAAUACAAAUGGCAUGUUUUGGCGGAUGGAUAGCUUGCCUUGGGAGUUGACUCUUUAUCUUGAUGCAAUGUCUUCGCUGCAAAGUAAAAAGUCUCCCAUAAUAGGCAUGUGAGAAGCAGGUUUUACUGCUUAGGCCAAAGUCUGUAAGUUAUUUGAACACGUGGUAGAAUAGUAUUAAUACAAAUGGCGAACAGAGAGCUCUGCCAACGCAGAGCCUCUGUUUUAAUAUAUAUGUAUAUAUAUAAUGUAUAUAUACUAGCAUAUAACUUGCUCAAUGCGUGGGGUGCAGUUUUUUCUUUUUUCUCUAACUAUUCCUAAAUGAAAUACAAAAUAGAUAUAAUAGAGUAGAUAAUAGAUAUACCAACACAAAUGUUUCAAAGGACAUUCAUAUUUUCGUGCUAUCCAAGGUUUGCUGUAUUGAUCGGUAUUGGCAUGUACUGACUGCACCAUACUGUUUUGGUACUGAACUGAUACGCAGUAUGGAUGGUAUGGAGGGUUUACCAAUACUGGGUACGUAGAACUGGCCUCCAUAUUGAGCGUACCGACACUGUAAUAGGCAAGUACCGGUAUAAAGUCCGGUACUAAGACGGUGAAUCUUAGUGCUGUCUACUUAAUCCUCUCAAACAAGUAGUCUGACUUUGUCUUCCUCCUUUGGAAGUCAACUAAGAAUGAUGAAUGCUUAGGACAGAGGGGCUAUUUGGUUAGAUUUUCUAUAAAACAGCUUUUAUGAAAAACAGGAGGGAACCUGUUUAUGACGGAACUCAUAUUUUAGAUUUUACGACUUCCAAGAUAUGAUAAAGCAGAUUUUAUGGCAAACAGCCAAACAACUAAGUUUGUAAAACUCAUUCAUUUUGAGUCUUUUGCAUGUCUGUUUUAGUAGACCUUCCCAACCAAACAGCCCAUCAAAGUUUGUUGCUAUUUGAAGGUCCUAUGAUAGGGUGAUCUAAUCCAUGAGCUCCUCUCAAAAUGGUUCCAUAAUCUGCCUAGAAAUCAAUUUGAAUAUAGUUUAUAGACAUGUCAUUUUUGGCUUAUAUACUUUAAACUAAAGGAACUUUGGAAAGUUUGCCUAAAUUUUCUCUUUACGUGAGGAGAUGAGAAGCUCUCUCUCUCUCUCUCUCUCUCUCACUCACUCUCGAUCUCUCUCUGUGUGUAAAUGGGGAAUUAUAUCUCUAAGACGGCGAUAUGUUGAUAGGGUAAUGUUCUCAAUUUUCCCUCCUGCAGAAAAGUUAAAUCACUUGCUUAUUGAAAAUAUAUUUUCAAAUCUGAUUUUGUUUGUACUUUCCAGUGGUAAGAAAUGAAACAUCGUUAUGAAAGCAAUACCUUUCUAACCAGCUUUGAGUUGGAGAAGAUUUACCAACAUUAAAGAAGAUUGGAAGAUGAGAGUGAAAGAUGAAUACUAUUAGAUUUCUUUUUCUUAAUCAAUGUAUAACUAUCCCUCUGGUUCCUUUUAAAAUCCUUAAAAAUGAGACUUGAUCUACUCAGUUGAUUUAACUGAACAACUCAUGAUUGCUUAUGUAUGUAGAAAAAUGAUAUCUAUAUCUCUAAUCUGGUUUUAGACCUACCAGGCCAUGAUAAAUUGGUCAAUAUGUAUCUAUUUGCUGUUCAAAAAAGUUGUGUUUCCUUGUACACCUUGAAAUGUGUUUAGUUAGCUACAAUGAACUUCUUAAUCACAAGUUGUAGGCCUGAAUAGUUAGGGCUGUAAUUAUACUCAAAAUGUGGCAAAUGUUAAAACUUUUCUAAAAACUUAAAUAAAACUUAUCUAAAACCUUAGCAAGCCUUUAACAACCACUAUUUCUAAAACUUAAAUAAAACUCACUUAGAAGUUAACAAACCUCUAAAAUAGCUAAAGGCUAAAACUAACUCCCUAGAACUCAAUAAAAAAUACAAUAGAAAAAAUAAAGUCAGGACCAGCAGUUGGCUUUCCAACAUCCAAUUCCACCAUCUGCUUACUUCAUAAGCUCAAUCUUUCACUCAUGCUGCAUCAACUUUCCCUGGAUAAAAAGAAUUUGGCUUCAAAAAGACUUGGCCAAACUAUUUUUAUUACAUACUUCUAUCUAUAGCUGUCUUUCUACUUCCGUCUGAGUUUGCUCAUGCCUCUAGAAUUAGGUAUAAAUACUCUCUCUUACAGAAUCCAUGCCUCUGUUUUGGAAAAUCCAUGGUGAACUAAGAUUUGUGUAGUCAUCAUUAAUACAUGAUACCAUGCCAAUUGUCUACCAGGUCUCCAACAGUGACCGCAGUUAACAUAACAAUCAUACCAUCACACUACUAUUGUCGCUUGGCCACAAGAUUGAGUAUAGCCGUAGAGUCUUGGGUCAAUGAUUAUCUAAUUUCUACAUAAAUUGUGGGAAAUGAUAUUUAUGGUGCCUCUCCUUGAUGCCAAGUGUUUAACAUUCACAACAAAUAUUCCUAAUUCAAAACUUGUCCCACAUUGCUAAUCUUUAUCUGACUGUUAUUGUUAAGAUUUUGAUAUCUAUGAGAAGGCGUGUCUGCCUGCUGCCCUCUACGAGUGAUCUUCAGCACCACAUUAUCUUUCGUAGGGACAUCAUCAUAUACCUCAACCACUUUCUUCCAUCCUCUCCAACCAUGUAGCCAUUCACAGGGUAUGACACAAUUGUAAGAAGAAAGUAAUUUCAAGGUGUUAGAAGCCUCAAAGAACAUAUAUUUUUACAUUUUGUUCUGGUGAGGACAUUACAAGCCCGAAAAAGGUGCCUUUUGGGUCUCAACAACGUGGCAUAGAUUCUUCUCUAUCCGGCAGGCCUCUUGGUAAAGUUGCAAAGGUGAGACCAUAUCGUCCCAUUUUUCGAAGAAAAGACCUGCAUGGUAUCAUCUUAGCCAUCACUUCCUCAACGCACACAUCCCAUCUUUCUAUCGCUGGUCAUAAAAUUCAGCAGACAGUUGUUCUUGCUUCAUCAAAUCAGCAUGUGACUUAACUAGGUUAUAGGUGGACUGCCAAUUUGAUCAUUUUAGGGAUUUCUAGGGUUUCCUUUCCCAAAAACUAUGGAAGAAGAUGAUAGAUUGACCCUUCUACCUUUGACUUGCCUUCCUUCCUAUUAUGGUCAUUCAAUAUGUCCGUGAUUUUAUUCUUGAUAUGGUCAAACUAAGCAUCAUCUUAAAAUUGAUGAUCUUGCUGCUGCUUUUUAAUGGAAUACAAUCACUCUGCCAUUGUUGUUAGAUGUUCCAGUACAUUCAGGGAAGGAAAUUGGCGCGAUGAUUGGUUGGCUAGUUGAGGAAGCCAUAUUUGUUCUAUUGAGGACUUUGGAGAUGAGCUGCCUGUUGAGGGACCUAACCUUCAAAGAUGAAUGCUUGUGUAUAUACUCGUACAUACUGGUGCUUAGCUCCUCCCUCUUAUCUAAAUAAAAAACUGAAAGAAGGAAAAAGAACUGCAACCAUAAAGCCAUUUAACAAAAUGCUAUCUGAUUCAUCUUCUUCCAUAUAUGUUGAUUAGAAGGACCUUAAAACUUAGAUAGAAUGAUUAAAAUGACAACCCAUCUAUAACUAAGAUCAGCAAUGACAUGAUGGAAAAUCCAGGAUUGGAGGAAACACCCAUUCUUACCCUUGAUCAAAAAUUUAGCAAACCAUUGUUCUUGAUUCAUAAAAUCUGCCCAAGGCUGAUCUUACUUUAGGUAGACUGCCAGUUCAAUCAUUUUGGGAAGUUUUGGCUACUUAUUUUUCCAAUGUUUAUGGAAGAAAAUGGAUUUGUUAGUAUGAAUUUUAAUGUAGCGUCUAAUUGCAAUCAUGUUGCCUUUAUUGUCACAAUCAACUUUUGAAGUUGGUUUUCAAGACCGUCGGACUGAGUAUAUUCUCAGCUUGAUGAUCUUGUAAUUGUUUCUCGACAAUAUCCAACACUGCUUUAUUUUACAAUAGAUGUUUUCUCUCUGCAAAUGUGUAGAAGUUGUUUCUUGUACAGUAUGGGGCUUUUGCAAUAAGUUAUUCUUAGUCAGUCAACUCGUAGAAAACCUAUGAUUUUAUAAUAUUUUGUUUUCAGCAUUAAGGAGCACAAUCACGUUUGGAGACACUGAAAGGGGUUGAAGAGAUCGACCAAAAUUAGAGAUCAAUGAGUGGCUGUAUUCUGUUUCCUUUGGUGAUUGCAGGAGUAUCUAGAUGGCUGAUGGUUAGAAAGAGUUACUGGUGAAAAUUUGCCUGAAGCACAUGGUAGGCCUUGGAAGUUCAUGGUUGUAUAAAAAGUAGUCAACAUUUUGGUCAUGCCUUGAUUGUUAAGCACCUUAACAUGGUAUGUAGCUCACAUCUUUUUCCCAGGCUGCAAAUGGAAAAUUGAAAUCCUAAUCCAUUGUUGAGGAUGAAUCCUUUCCCCAAGUUGGUAAUCCUACUCUAGUUGAUGAUA